Bos indicus x Bos taurus (hybrid cattle) is the source of this 3160-nucleotide long non-coding RNA. NCBI's taxonomy places the organism in Eukaryota, Metazoa, Chordata, Mammalia, Artiodactyla, Bovidae. The record is from Ensembl.
CCCGGAGGCACCAGCCUGGGGCCUUAGCCAACCCUGCCCCUCUACCGUCCCAGCGAAUGCCCCCGCCCCCAGGGCACGUCACGCAGCUGGCCCUGUGCUGGGCACGGCAGGCACACAGCCUGGAUCCUGCCCCUCUCGGCAGAGGCCUGGCCCAGCCUGCGUGGCUCCCUGCGUGGCUCUGUCUUGAACUGGAGCUCCGGGGCACUUGCUCACCAGCCGACCGGGCAGCCUGCAUUUGGGCAGCCUGCAUUUGCCCAGCCUGACUGUCAACGGGCCUCGUCCUUCUGGGUGAUGAACCCAGCUUUUAACUUACUCCCUUCAUGAGAACAGCAGAGAAGUUCUUUGUUUUGUCAUGAGUUUGUUGUCCCGUGAAACGGUCCCCCCGAGGGGCUGAAGCCCCAUGACCAAGCGCUGCGUGCUGUGGAGGAGACUCCAGGUGUGGGAGGCGGAGAAAGCUGAGCACCGCCUGCGCAGGAGUCUGAAGGCAGCAGACAGACUCAGGCCUUGAGAGGACGCGGCUCCAAGUGGGCCCUCAACCUCCCGGGGCUACACCGUGGCCGAGCAGAGUGGCAUGGGCUCGGGCUGGGCCUCAUUGGCUGCCGCAUCCUGCAGCUGCUCGCCUCACUGGACAGAGGGCCCGUGUGGCCAUGGUCAAGGCGGGACCAGCUUCCAAGGAGCCGCCCUGCUGAGGACAGCUGUGGCGGGCUUCCUGUCCUUUGCUCACCUGAAGAGUUGUUAGGCGUUUAAGUCUUUAGGAAAAAAAGAAAAAAUAAACGUAUUUUGAGGUCCAGACUUGCCGCAGCCCACAGGGUUGCAGAGAGUUGGACACGACUUAGCAACUAAAUAACAACUUCUCCUUUUAAUCACCAGGAAGGCCAGUGCUGGGGAAAAACAGAUUUCAAAACAGGCGUGUUUCUGAGCUGUUCCUGAAUCUGCAUGUGUAAACCCACAGUACUGAAACUUCUUUCUCUUCACUUUCAGCAUUCUGCCCAGAAACUCAGCAGAAGUGGCCACUUCUUCCCUUUUGAGACUAACAAAGAGCACCCCUGGGAGGUCGUCGGUGGAGGGCGGCCCGUAAGAAGCCAGGUGGCCGCGGGCCCCGCCAGCCCCUCCCCGCCUGGCCCCCGCGGCCCCAGCGUAGGCGCGCUCAGCACCCGGGACCUCAGGGCUGCACCGGCCGCCCUCAGCGCCCCUCACCAAGUGGCACGGCCGCUCCCUGUUGGAGCCAGAAGAGCUGGCGUGCGGCGGGCCCCUGAGGCGCCCUGGCGGCCCCAGGGUCUGGACUCCGGUCAUCAAGAGGCACUGCCACAGCAGCGGGAGCGCCUGGUUGCCGGGCCUCGCCCUCCCAGCCACCAGCGCCGCCUCGCCCCCUGCGCUCUGGCCAGCCCCGGGCCUGGGCGGGCCACCAGAGGGGGACCGCACGCCCUCCCCGCGACGCUGCCUGUUGCCGCCGCAGGAGCGCCUGGUGCCGGAGGGCGCAGCCCCACGUCGGCCGGCAGCGUGCCAGUGCCCACACCCAUGUCCACGCCCGAGCCCAGCCGCUGUCAGGGCCUGCUCUGCUGCCACUCGCAGCCGUGCGUGCGCGCGGGCGGGAGGGCCGGCGGAAGCGCGGGCGCGCGACGCCCGCUGGCCGAGCCCGGCCCUGGACUUCCUGAAGAUGGCCCGGGUGAGGCUCCCUCCCGCGUCCGGUGCCGGCGCGCCGCCCUCCACCCCACCCCCGCCCCCAUCUUGUUCCCCAAGCUCCCCAGUGCUCCUUGGAGCAUUGCCCAAGGACAGACCCACAUGUCCGUGUUUGUCGGUUGUGCCUGGGCCUUGUGGGUCAGCUGGGCCUGGGGCUCCCGUGUGUUGGGAGAUGCUUCGGGGGCGUGUGCCACCCCACAGUCCCUCCCCGUUGGCUCUGGCCUGCCUCCUGGGGCCCUGCCCGCGGAGGGUGGACUCCUGUCCCCCUCGGUCUCUGUCCGCUCGCUGGUGGAGAACCUCGUCUGCCGGCUGCCCGGUGCUGUGGGCUGUCCGCUCGCUGGUGGAGAACCUCGUCUGCCGGCUGCCCGGUGCUGUGGGCUGUUUCCUUUGUCCCACAUCCCCCGUUUCCUGCAGACCAAGUCGUCCCAUUUGUCUUCACGGCCGUCUCAGAUGCAGGCGCUGUCCCCGGGCAUCUGGUGACGCUGGAACCCAGAAGCUGACCUGUGGCUUCGCAUGUGGGUGCGGCCUUUCCAUCAGGAGAUUUCAGUGGGGUGCUGGGACGCCUCCAUCUGCGUCCCUGGUUCUCCAGGGAGGCCUCGGCCCGUGCCGCCUGGGGAGGCUGGGCCCAGGCCGGUGUGACCCUCAGGUGACCGCUUUUGGGGCUUGUGUCCUGUGUUUGGUGGACCGUGGCCCCCCCAGCCCAGUGGCAGGGGAUGAGGGCCUUGGCCGGGGCAGGUCGGCGGAGGUGCGUGUCUGCGCGCCUUCCCGCGGCCAGAGCCCCAGUGCCGGGCUCCGGGUGCUCCGGGCAGUCAGGGGCCCCUCCCUCGGCCAUCCGUGGCUGUGGCCGUGGCUGUGGCCUGUGGGCAGGGUCAGCUCUGGUGUGAGCACGGACACUGGGCUAUGUUUCCAUGAGGGAGAGAGGUUGAGCGUUUGUCUGGAGAAGGCCCGACGCCUCGGCUAGGGGCAUGUGCAGCGGGGGCAGGUCAGCUCUUGGCUCGCGGGACGGUGUCUGUUCAGGGCUGUGCGUGGCCGGACAGGUCGGGUGUCCUCCCUACUCUUGGCUCAGUCUCGGGGCCCCUUGGCUCCAGCCGCUGAGCCUGGGUACAGUCCCUGUCCGGCGUAAGUCGGCCGACGCAGGCAGGCACGUUCACACCGGCUGUUUUGCACACAAGAUGAGAGACCCUGUAAGAUCGAGGGCCCCUGAUUCAGACUCAAAGUCUUGACCUUUGAUUUUUUGAAAAAGUAUUUUUUGUUCACCUGGUUAGAUGUAGGUCACCAUCAAACCGGAGCAGGACCGCCCAGUGACGAGAGUCGUGCGUAUCGGUUCAGGUCCCCUGAGCAGCUCGGACUGCCCCCUGUAGUUUUGUGACACCUUUUGGGCCGUGAAGUCGGUGGUUUCUAGCUGCGUGUGGCCUGAGCCAGGAGCGUCCCGAGCUGCGCCUUUCACACUUGAGCUGCAGUUGUGAUCACGGCUGGGCUG